RNAcentral lists this long non-coding RNA (475 nucleotides) under Vigna radiata. Its description in RNAcentral is "long non-coding RNA (VRAD_LNC002034)". The record is from RNAcentral. Lineage: Eukaryota; Viridiplantae; Streptophyta; Magnoliopsida; Fabales; Fabaceae.
AGACUAGAGCAACCUUAGAGACUCUUCUAGUCACCUUCCUCAUUGAGUUAGUCCAACCUCUCUUUGAGCCACCAAACAUCACAUCAUCUCCACUAAACCAUUAUUAAACUCGCUUUUAGUCGCAUCAAAGCCAACAAACUUAGUUUCCCACUAAUGUAGUAGAGGGAUAACCAAGGAUCAAUCCAAGGACUCAACUAUUAGUAAGUCUAAAGUGUAUGGUUAGAAUCUUGUAAUUAUUUACUUACUAACUACUAACUAAUUAACAAAGAAGGUGGGGAAAAGAAAUUAAACAAAGAAAUUAAAAAGAAAAGAAUAAAGAAGAUCAAAUCUNUUUUAAAAGAAAAGAAGAAAAUAAAAUGUAAAACAAAAAAAAAAAGUAAAGAACAAAGGCCUAAGCUAAAUUGCAAAAUUAGAACUGCAAAAGCAAAUACAAAUAUAAAAGAAAGACUACAAUGCCCUAAAAUCAAUCCUAACA